Ctenopharyngodon idella (grass carp) is the source of this 4322-nucleotide long non-coding RNA. RefSeq lists it as uncharacterized. The record is from RefSeq and is a predicted model, not a curated record. Lineage: Eukaryota; Metazoa; Chordata; Actinopteri; Cypriniformes; Xenocyprididae. The transcript is spliced from 2 exons.
AUCAUCUUUAGACUUAAGUAAAACAUAUUCAAAGGAAUGGGAUAUAUUUGAAAUGUUUGAUUUUACAAGUUAUGUUGCCCUAUUAAGGUAUAAAAAAAAGCCAAAGUCAUCAAUAUUUGUUUUAUGUGAUGCAAAAAAUAUGCAAUAUAUGUCUAAGUGUCCUAAAAUUGAGGCAUUUAAACUUUUUACGCUGCUGAACGGUCUCAUCUUCAACCUUCGGGCUGGUCAGCUCUGGUUUGAGGGUCACUGCCCUGCAGCUCCAAUCCUGCUCAAACACACAUGCCUGUAAUUUCCAAGUACAUCUGAAGACCUUUAGCAGGUUUUGAUGCGUUUCAUUGGUGUUGGAGUUAAACUUGUUCUACCCUGCAAGAAAAUAUAUAGCUGAAAAUGCAAAGAUGUAGCCAACUAAAUAUACUAUCAAUAUUAACAUUUGUGCAACAUUUAAACUCAAAUAUUCAAUAUUGUGGAUUAACUUUUUUUCUUACCCUAAUCUGGCAAUUUAUCUUGGGGGAUACAGAUGUUCAUUCUGUCAUUUAGCACAUUUUGAAACAUUUUCUUUUUCAGCACCCCAAGACAAUGUUCACAAUUAUUAUUAGCAGUUUUAAUGCUUUUUUACGGAAGUACACAAAACUAAACAUUUUAAAACCACCAUAUCACCACUUUUCCCAUGUCCCCAGGCUUGCAUACCUUAUUUUCAUGACAAAUACAACACUUACUAUGUGAUUUUGUACAUUGUUGGGUAUAUCAGUAAUGAUUCUCUCAUGUAUAGAUUUUUCUCAAUUACUACAUUUUAAAAGUGAUAGGUUUUGCUUAUUUAUUGACUACUUUCUCUUCUAAUGAAAGUUGGAAAAAUUAAUGACAUCAUAAAGCAGUCAUCACUUCUUUGGAGGGAAAACUUAGAAAAGUGAUUGAGAAAUUUUAUUUCAACUUUGAUGUAGUCAACCUCAAUACAUCCACUCUGUUGAGGAAAAUAUGUUAGAACAAACAAAAAAACCCUAAUUCAGUGACAAUGAAAAAUUGGAGUAUCAAUAAUGUAGCACUUGUUAAAAACACCUCAGGCAUUUGUAUCUCAAAACGAAAAAUAUAGAAUGUGUUUGUGAGAAAUACAAUACAUUCUGAUAAUUUAUUAACUGAUAUGCUUUUAAAAGGGACAUGAUUUUGUCUAAGAUAACAUACUCAUUGCCUAUAAAUUAGAUUGUUUUUUUUUUUUGGGUCACCAACAGGGUAGACAUUUGAUAUCCCAUUUCAGUUUAAUAAGUGGUUAAAUUUGACCAAUCAUUUUCAAGUGUUCUCCAUCACCCCAUCAUGAAAGAGGAAAAAAAAAAAAAAAAAAAAGUUUGAUUUUCCAAAUUUUAUGUCCAAAAAGCACCGAAUUCAAGGAAUGACAGGCUGAAAAAUAGAGCACAGAAAAUUUGAACCAAGUCAUGUGACCCACAUACUCAAAUAUAGACUCAACUAUGAAAGCAGCACCGGGCUACAAAUGACUAAAGAGUACUUUUGGUGCACGUUGCCCGUUUAAGUGCUAAACCUUCUUAUGAACGGAAUUAAUAUUUUUAAGUUACAAUUUUCAGUGUCGUUAAGUUGAGGAUAUUUUCAGCAAACAGUUUGCUUCAUACAUCGUUUAAAAGCACUAGAGGGAAAAUGUUUUUCAACUUAACUAUGUGCAUUUUAAACACGCGGAUUUAUAGCGCAUUUAAAUCCAUUGCUCAGCUAAAAAUAAUGGACCCAUUAGAGGUUGCCAAAAAUUACGAUUUAAAAAUCAGUCAUAACCUAUUUUAGUUUCUCCUGGCUCCAGAGAUGCCACAUCCAAUAAUAGGAAACACCGCAAGUCGAAAAGGUACGUGGGCCUACCAUGUGCACAAACAAAACAGGGAAAAGAUCUAGGGUUGAAAAGCUAAACAUUCAACAAAGUACAAAACACCACAGUAUUUCUGUUAAACUCUUUAUUCAGUACAGUUUACUUUUCAAUUUCUUCAAAACACAGUAUUGACAGAUUUACCACAAAAAGACAAAAACAAUUUACAGUCUACCUGAAGAUCAGAUACCAGUGAACUUGCUACCACUGAAAAGAAUAAACUUAAUUCAUGCUGUUCGUUAAAAGUCAGAAAAUCACUAUCACACACUCACACAAACAACACGAAGCAUGAUUCAAUCACUUACACAAGUCUGUUGUACAAAACGCAGUCAAUCGGCUGUCUCGGAAAAUUCCCAACCUGCGGUGAGUGUCUGAGCGCGGGCUUAUUUGCAGGAUCAGUGGGAAGGUCCGCAAAAGUUCGCCAUGCUCAAUUUAAUCUGCUCAGCGUGUUGUAAACUCCCAGAUCUGAAGCAUGUGCAGCAGAGGUGAACUCUUCGCGGCAGCAGGACUGUCCGCGCACAAAACACUCAAAGCUGAGAGACCGAGCAUCAGAGUACUCUAUAGCUUUUUUUUAAACGCAUCGGAACCACGGAAAACUUCCUGUAAUAUACUGAAAGCUUAAGACAAAACAGUAUAAAUCCCGUACAGGAAGCCAGAGAGCGUUAGGGUUAGAAGAAGUACUCUGAUUUCUCUCUUACGUGGUAAGGCUUUAUAUAGUGUCGAUGAUGUCAUGAUUAUGGACCCUCCCGCUGGUCUCUGAUUGGCUAGAUCGCGCGCCAAAUCACAUUUGAUAGGCUCUAAUUGCAUUAAUCAAAUCAAAUCAGACAAAAACAACAUUAAUUACAUGAUGGAUAGCCGCAUUCUGGAAGUUGAACUUUGUUUAUUUUUUAUUUUUUUUCAGCUGAAAAGAAAGAUUAUGUCCAUCCAGAACACAAAUCAGUGAUUGAACCAGUUACCAAGUUUUUAUUUCCAUCAUUGUUUCCCUCUUGAAUUUUCAAUAGGUUUUUAGAGUAGGCUAGUGGUGUACAAUUUAUUGAAAUAAUACUGUGGUGAAUGUUACUUGAAAAUACUUUCCAUAAUACACACAGUUAUAAUUUGCAGCUAAACGCUUCUAUUUCCAUUAGCGCUCGGAUUAUUGCUCUGUGAUGAACAAAAGUUUAUGAUUCUUAUCAUUAUAAUCUUCAGAAAUGAACACAACUUUUAUAAAUUCUGAAGCCUAAAUACAAUCUGCAGAAGAAAAAAAGCUAAAUGAUGACUUUUAAUGUGUCCAACAUCCUCUGUAGUACAAAUUUAGCCACUUAUUAGCAACUGCCUUUCUUAAGACAAGUAAAAGCUUUAAAAAAAAAUCACAAGGGGGUAUUAAUUAUGUAUUUUAUGUUAUAGAAUAAAACGUGAAAAUCUUUCAAACUUUAUUUCAGGCAAUUUUACCUCCCAAAAAUCCAUUCAAAACCCCAUUGGCUUCAGGAACCAGAAAUGCUAAUGCUAACUCUUUUCCAGUUUUUGGCCUAGGCUACAGAAAUACGUCAACCCUCCAUGUAAUACAGUUUUGGAACAUCAUGAGGGUGAGUAAAUUGUGACUUUUUAUUUUGAGCGAAUUAUUAAUUUAAUCUUUCACAUUAGCUGUUACUUAUGGCAGGAGUUUGUUGUUUUCACUAGAUGGCAGUAGCGGCAAACUCGUUGUCUGGUCCAGCCGUCUUCUGUGUGAGAAAUCAUUUAAUGUGUUGCAGAAAACGUCCUCUGCUGUACUUGAGUGAAAGUGAGAUGUCCAAGUAGACCGCCACUUAUAAUAAUGAUAUUUCUGCACAAUAAUGCUUUCUUUCAGGUGCUGAGGCAGCAUUAAUUGGUGGGAAGGUGAGCAGGGUAUUAAUGCAGACAGACAGCAUAUUCUGGGCCAGUGACAGUGAGUCAGCACCACAGCAGAGGGGGAGGCAGAGAGAGAGAAAGAGAGAGAAGGUAAAGUUCUACAUCGCUUACCAAAAGCUGCAACCGGCAAAACACAAAAAGAAGCAUAACUCAAUUAAUUUUUAAAGAGCAAGCAAUAGGGUUUUUGCAUAUACACUUUGUAGCAGCUGAUACACCUGAACAUAUUGCACCAUACUGCAGUGAAUCUCCUUGAUGCCGUUGAGCUGACAUUGAAGAGGCUUACAAAUCUUUUCGCGUUUGUUGUUCUAUAUACAUACCUUUUUGACUGUCACAUUCAUGCUUGUUUGCGGUUAUUUCACAUUCUGAUGCCAAGACUGAUUUCGCUGCCAAUGAGUGAGAUAUUCUUUGCUGCAGGAGUUUAUCCACACACUCACUCACUCAAUCACUCACGCAGGCGCUCUAAACUGCUGAAUUCUCUGCUUCAUGGAAGACUGCAGAAGCCUGCUGGGAGCUGCUAAGGCUUUCUGACCUGACUGUCCUUGAAUGCUCUUGAGAGAAUGAAGGAGAGAGAGAAAGAGAGAGCUCCAAAGCACUGGCACAAAAC